GAAAGUAUUUAUCUAGUGGGAGAAAAUCAGUAUUUCAAAAGUUAUAUGAAUUGUAUCUAGAAGAAUGUGACAAGGAGCCUGAAAUAAAGCAGAAGCUGAGACGAAAUGUGAACUUGUUGGAGAAGCUAGUCAUGCAAGAGACGUUGUCAUGCCUAGUAGUGAAUCUUUAUCCA
Molecule: non-coding RNA, 173 nt
Organism: Thamnophis sirtalis
Lineage: Eukaryota; Metazoa; Chordata; Lepidosauria; Squamata; Natricidae
Source: RefSeq, a predicted model, not a curated record